AUUGAACACUGGCGGAAUGCCUUACACAUGCAAGUCGAACGGCAGCACGGACUUCGGUCUGGUGGCGAGUGGCGAACGGGUGAGUAAUGUAUCGGAACGUGCCCAGUCGUGGGGGAUAACGUAGUGAAAAUUACGCUAAUACCGCAUACGAUCUAUGGAUGAAAGCGGGGGAUAGCAAGACCUCGCCCGAUUGGAGCGGCCGAUAUCAGAUUAGGUAGUUGGUGGGGUAAAGGCCCACCAAGCCAACGAUCUGUAGCUGGUCUGAGAGGACGACCAGCCACACUGGAACUGAGACACGGUCCAGACUCCUACGGGAGGCAGCAGUGGGGAAUUUUGGACAAUGGGCGAAAGCCUGAUCCAGCCAUUCCGCGUGCAGGAUGAAGGCCCUCGGGUUGUAAACUGCUUUUGUACAGAACGAAAAGGUUUCUACUAAUACUAGGAGCUCAUGACGGUACUGUAAGAAUAAGCACCGGCUAACUACGUGCCAGCCGCCGCCGUAA
This 500-nucleotide ribosomal RNA is filed under the name uncultured bacterium. RNAcentral's name for it is "partial 16S ribosomal RNA". It matches the Rfam family "Bacterial small subunit ribosomal RNA", at positions 30 to 523 of the family's 1533-position model. The record is from RNAcentral.